GGAGAGUUGUCCGAGUGGUCGAAGGUGCAGCACUCGAAAUGCUGUGUCGGUGACGAGCCGACCUAGGGUUCGAAUCCCUAACUCUCCGCCA
Molecule: transfer RNA, 91 nt
Filed under: Clostridia bacterium
Lineage: Bacteria; Bacillati; Bacillota; Clostridia
Description: tRNA-Ser
Rfam family: tRNA
About the family: Transfer RNA (tRNA) molecules are approximately 80 nucleotides in length. Their secondary structure includes four short double-helical elements and three loops (D, anti-codon, and T loops).
Source: RNAcentral